This 261-nucleotide ribosomal RNA is filed under the name uncultured archaeon. RNAcentral describes it as "partial 16S ribosomal RNA". It matches the Rfam family "Archaeal small subunit ribosomal RNA", at positions 748 to 1009 of the family's 1478-position model. The record is from RNAcentral.
CAGCCGUAAACUAUGCUCGCUAGGUGUCAGGCAUGGCGCGACCGUGUCUGGUGCCGCAGGGGAGCCGUGAAGCGAGCCACCUGGGAAGUACGGCCGCAAGGCUGAAACUUAAAGGAAUUGGCGGGGGAGCACAACAACGGGUGGAGCCUGCGGUUUAAUUGGAUUCAACGCCGGACAUCUCACCAGAGGCGACAGCUGUAUGAUAGCCAGGUUGAUGACUUUGCUUGACUAGCUGAGAGGAGGUGCAUGGCGUAGACGUCU